CCUACGGGUGGCAGCAGUGAGGAAUAUUGGUCAAUGGGCGCGAGCCUGAACCAGCCAAGUCGCGUGCGGGAUGACGGUCCUACGGAUUGUAAACCUCUUUUGCCGGGGAGCAAGAGUGCGUUCGUGAACGCGCGUCGAGAGUACCCGGAGAUAAAGCAUAGGCUAACUCCGUGCCAGCAGCCGGGGUAAGACGGGGGAUGCGAGCGUUAUCCGGAUUUAUGGGGUUUAAAGGGUGCGUAGGGGGGAUACCAAGUAAGCGGUAAACAUGCGGUGCACACCGCCGUCGUGCCGUGGAAACUGGGUUCUUGAGAGUGCGUGAAGUAUGCGGAAUGCGUGGUGUAGCGGUGAAAUGCAUAGAGAUCACGCAGAACUCCGAUUGCGAAGGCAGCAUACCGGCGCCCUACUGACGCUGAGGCACGAAAGCGUGGGUAGCGAACAGGAUUAGAUACCCCUGUAGUC
RNAcentral lists this ribosomal RNA (459 nucleotides) under uncultured bacterium. RNAcentral's name for it is "partial 16S ribosomal RNA". It matches the Rfam family "Bacterial small subunit ribosomal RNA", at positions 338 to 795 of the family's 1533-position model. The record is from RNAcentral.